Molecule: long non-coding RNA, 8943 nt
Organism: Mastomys coucha (southern multimammate mouse)
Lineage: Eukaryota; Metazoa; Chordata; Mammalia; Rodentia; Muridae
Exons: 2
Source: RefSeq, a predicted model, not a curated record
CUGUCUCUGUCUCUCUGUCUCUCUGUCUCUCUCUCUCUCUCUCUCUCUCUCUCUGUGUGUGUGUGUGUGUGUGUGUGUGUGUGUGUGUACAGAUAAAGAUGCCAAAGGAAACCAGAAGAGUGUGUUAGACCCCUGGAUCUGAAGUUACAGCAGUGAGAUAUCAGCAUGGGUCCUGGGGGCCAAACUCAGGCCUUCUACAAGAACAGUAUAUAUUCUUAACCCUGAGCCAUCUCUCCAGCCCAUCUUCGCAUUUUUUUUUUUGAGUCAGGGCCUCUCACUGAAUCCGAAACCCACUAAUCAGCUGACCAUUGGCUGACCGGUAAGCGCAGGGCAUCCUCCUGCCUCCAUGUCUCCACUCUGGGAUAACAGGCAUGAGGUGCUCUGCUCCUGACUCGGAUGGAUGCUGGCUUGCACAGCAAGCACUUUCGACUGAACCAUCCCCCCUCAGCCAGAAUCUGCCAUUUCUGAUACUGUCUGUGCAGUUGGGGUGGGCUGGGUCUCACCCCCUACCCAGCCUCCCACCCGUGGUGCUGACUGGAGUCAUUAACACUAAUGAUAGGAUCGGGGGCUGUGUUAUCACACACUCAGCCCUACUGGGGCUCAGGGCCCAGGAGGUGGGAAGGGGCUGGCAGGUAGCCCAGGGAGGGAGCUGAGAUGGGAAGUGGGGGUUGGGGGGAGGAAGGAGGAAGGCCCUGGGUCUGCUCAAGAUUCUUCUUAGAGGAACUUCUCCCAGCCCUCAGGGCUCAGAACAAAACCUAUGCCUCUGUGUCCCUUGUAGUAGCCACUGGGCACUCUGUAAAGCAUGCUUGAUGACAGAAGGGACCUCAUCCAGACUGGGAAAUCAGGAGACAGAGAAGUAACUAAUGCCUAGGACCCAAAGCCUAUAAGCUUAGUCCUGCUUUGCUCACGGAGAGAUAUUACUGUCACUUUGGGUCUCCCUCCACCUCUGUCCCCAAGGCCCAUGUUCCUACCAGUUGAGGUUAGAUGACCCUUCACUGUCAAGGGCGCCUCUAGAUGCUGCAUCUGCCCCAAGAGCGGGUCUCUCAGUCCAUAGUCCACAGCCCAGGCAGCCUUCACCCUUGUCCCUCUGACUCAGCAGAUGCUGCCUGUGGGCCUGUGGUGAGCACUGUCUUUGAGCUCAGCGACUCUUGGUGUCUCCCAGGGCCCCAGAGAUGCACCUAGCAAACCUGCGGUUUUCAGGAGACAAACCCCUCUGUGGCAGCCUCUUUAUUUCUCUACGUACCCAGACCUAAGGGUCUCACUGUGUAGCUCAGGUUGGCUACAUAGCCACCAAGCUCCUCCCAACUCAGCCUCCUGAGUGCUGAGAUUAAAGGCGUGUGCCAGCCUAGGACCUGUGCUCUCAGAUGUGAGUUUUGAAUGAAUUACUGUGUGAUGCCUCAUGUGUAACCCUUCUGGAGGUUGAGACAGGAGAAUUGCUAUGAGUUAAAAGGCCAGCCUAAGAUAUAGUGUGAGACCUUGUGCUUGGCCUCCUCAAUCCCCUACUUAAAAUGUCAGGCCUUCUCAAUCCCCUACUUAAAACAUGGGGCAUGGUGGCUGGGGAAGAGGAGGGGGAAACAAGAAUUUCAAGAUCUAGCCUGGGAUUGGGAGUGUGGCUCCAAGGCAGAGUGCUCACUGAGCCUGCACACAGCCUAGGGCCUGGCCCUUCAGAGACAGAGGCAAGAGGACCAUGGGAAGUAAGUUCAAAACCAGCCUGACCUAUCUAGGGAAACUAUUUGAAAGCAUACGAAUAACUCAGACUCCACCUCCUGGCCACCGCUGGAUCUGACGACAAAAUGCAAAGGAAUGUUCUGGGCUGGAGGCUUAGGCUCAGGCAGGAGGCUUGUGGUGGGGUGGGGCAGGUGAGCACCAGGUUGGUGGUGGGAGUGGAGUCUAAAAAACAGAGUGGUUGACUUCUGUGCCCUUGGAGGUAACCCAUGCCAGCUAUCCAAAGGGGAAGGUUCUUUGUGCUGAACUCAUCCUGUACCAAGCUGAUGGCCCCUUGUGUGAGUUCAGUAUGGGGAGGAGACUGGAUAUGGGAGUGGGCAGGGCCCGGGGAUCCUCCCAGGAAUCUCUAAGCCUUCUGGAGAAGUAGGCCGGAUUUGGCCCUGCCAAUGCAGUAGCCCCAAACUGGGGCAGAAUCAAGGAAUCUGGGUCAAGGACCUGGCUGGUCCCUGGGGGUAACACCACGUGUUCUGGCAUCUUCCCUCCAACUGUACCUGGGGGGAGAGAGUUGGGCAGGCCAGAGGUCCACCAGUGCCAGUCUGUCCUGAGCCUCGCAGUCCUUUACUGGAGUCUGGCUAAAGAGCAAAGAGCAGAGCUGGGGUGCGUGCCCUGCAUCCUCCAUCCUAGGGUUCACGUCUUCUGUGUGUUGAAGCUGCAGGGCCAAGACCCUGGAGCACCCCGAGGUGUCAUGAUGUGACCCUUACAGCACACACCACAUGCUGAGAAGAAAAGAGGUAGCCGAGAGUGAGCCAGGUCUUUAGGAGCCAUAUCAAUGACCACCUGGUUGGCCUCCCCAGUCCCUCAGGCUUCUGUUCAUAGCCACCCCACGAAGAAAAUGUGGUGCUGUCCCACGCUAGGACAUCCACUCCUGGGCUCUUCUGCUCACAGGUUGCCCUGGAGGCAGGAUUCGGUCAACUUUCAUGCCAUCCCCCUGCUUCUGCUCAGGACCUCAGACACAUCUUUCAUCCAGAGCCUAGGAGAGCCACCCAGAGCACGGGAGCUGUGGCAGAGUCUAUGCUGGUCAGGGUGUCCGACCCACUGAACAGAACAUGGGUCUGACCAGCUUGGAGAAAGUGAGGGGGAGAGUUCCUAUAUCCAGUGCCCAUGCUACCCAGCUGCUGCUUCUCUCCUCUCUGGUCUCAGCAAGCACUGUGCCCACUUCUGCACCUUUGACACAGGGCACUGUCCCCUAUUCCUGCUACCAUACCCGUCUUCCCCCCAACAUUCCCUGAACAUAGAAAUGUUGGUGAGGGCAGUCACGGAAGGGCCUAUGGCAUCCUUACCUGUCACUCCCAGCCCCACAUCCUUCCCUGUCUGAGGCUACGUGUCUCAUGCACAGGUGUCUGUGACUUCUUAAUCUCGACAAAGUGCUAACUACUUGGUCAGAGACCUGGGAUGGCACUCUGACGAACUUGAGUCUAAGAGUGGCUGGCAGAAGAGUCCCAGGCCAUGGCACCAGUGCAGGAGAAGCCCUGAAGCCAGCAUUGUGUUCAGUGUAGAGAGGUACUCCAGCUUCAUGAGAGAUCAGAUAAGUGGGUGGAGGUGAGCUCCCUAGCACCGGGUGUGUGCAAAUGUUGGCUGGAGGUUGCACUGAGUUGGGUUCAGGGCCCCUUGUGGCUCCAUGAUCCAGGAACUGUGGGCUCCUGCCUUAGAGGGUCAAAUAACAUUUUCCCAGGGGAAAAUUCAUGGAAGACCAUGGUGCCAGACUCCGGCUAGGCCCAGCAGCUGCUCGUUUUACCACAGCAGCCAGGGGAAUGAUGUUAAAUGCACAUGUGCUUUUGCUGCAAGAAAUGUGGGCUACUGUGGCCAUGGUUUGCAAGUGAUCACCGUGGUAGCCAGCCAGCCUCAGGUAGCCUAUGAGUGUCCUUACGAGGGUAACAGUGCUGGAUCUUGAGUCCUGGCUGUGUCCAGUCUAGGAAGGCCCUUUGGAAUAAUGGGCCUAGAAACAAUGAGGAUUGGCCCAGGAGAGAGACAGUGGAGAUGGGAGGCAGGGUCAGCUAGGGACGGAGGGAGCUUUCUUACAGGCCCCUGUCAGGACUGCUGAGGGGGGCUGGCACAGGGAGUUGUACUGAGUAAGGGCUAUGUGUAUGCACAUGUGUGUGCAUACCUGUGUUUACAUAUGUAUGUGCAUGUAUGUGGUUGUGUAUGGUAUGUGGUAUAGAUACACAUAUAUGUAUGUGCUGUGGUUGUGGAUGGGUGUACAUGGAUGUGUUCACGUGUGAGCGUGUGUGACACCUGUGCCAUUGUGUGAAUAAGCAGGUAUGCAUGUUUGUGUGCAUAUGUGUGUAUGCAUAUGUGUGCAUAUCAUGUGCAUGUGUGGUUGAGUGCAUGAGUGUGCAUACAUGUAUGUAAGUGUAUAUAGUUGUAUGUGGUUGUGUGAGAGCGUGUGUAUACAUUGCAUAUGGAUGCAUGGUGUAUACAUUUGUAGCUGUGUGAGUGUACAGUGUGCUUGUGCGCAUCACACGGCUGCAGUUGCCUUACCUACCUGUUCUGCUGUCCAAGCAAGAGAUGCCUGCUGCCUAUCACCAGGACUGGGGGCAGAGGAGCCUUUAUUUCCCAGGCCUUCCACGGUGAUUAAGUCUCCAAACUUUUCCUUAACCGUCAUAUCUUCAAAAUGAAAAACCAAAUUGCAUCUCCGAGAGCUUGGAAAUCGAUUUCUUUCAAAAUGAACUUUGGGUGAAGCGAUUCCAAAGAGAAAUGAGAGGAAGAAGGUAGGAGGGGGAAUGGGGAAGGGACAGAAGGCUUGGUUGGGGGCGGCCAGGGCAGGGCAGGUACUGUUUUUUCCUGGAAGGUGGGGGAGGCAUCAGGAGCGCUCUCUGGAAGAGGCACAGUGACCGUGUAGCCACAGUGGGUGCAGAGGUGAUGGGGGACUCUGGGAGACAAGGGGUGUUAGAAGUGAGCUCUCAGGAGGACUUCCCAGCAUCCUGUGUGUCUUCCUCUCCUUCCUGUGUGCUUUCAACAACAUUUCCAUGUUCCUGAAGAGUGCGUGUGUGGGGUGCUGUGGAGGGGGUUGGCUUGGUCACUGCUGUAUUGAUGUAUUGUAGGAGUUGAACACUCUCAGCCUGGUCAGGCGGGAGGUCCACACUGCUGGCCCCUCCCUCACUGCUCAACAGUGGUGCUGCUGCUGCUGCUGCUGCUGCUGCUGUUGGACAGCCCUAGGAAUAGGUUGGAGAGAAAAAAAAAAGGCCAGGGCAGGUUGGGGUCUAGGACAGCUGGAAGUGGGGUACCUGGGCCGGAAAGAGUGACCCUGGGGGGCUGUGGCUGGCAGCUUUUGAGCCAGGGGGAGCAAUUGUGGAGGCCUCUAGUGUUCCCUGCCUGGCUCAGCUCUGGCUGGCAGCCGUGGGUGUUGAAUACUGCUCAGCUGAGCGUCGAGCACUUGGGAGGGAGCAAGACAGCUAGACGCGUGUGCAGUGCAGUGGCGGUGGCAGGGGUGGCAGCAGGAGGUGGCAGGGGAAGUUGGCCAAGGUGGAGACAGAUGUGGAUGCUUCGGAAACAGGACCUUAGGGGCCCGGCUGAAAGAGGCAGAACAGAACAUUGGAGGUGGCCUGGAAUGGGGAUGGGAAGCCUGCCUUUUCUCUCACAGCAUACUAGGCAAUGAGGAAGCAGGAAAUGAGCUCACCCUGUGAGGAACUGUGGGGAACUGGGGCUCAGGGGAGCAGACUGCCCAGUACUUAGCAGGUCAGAGCUGGGAUUCUAGAGCCAAGCAUCGGGAGAAGGCAGCAUAAGGUGUGACAGACUCUUAGGACUGGGGACUCCCCCAUCCUCUCCACCCCCAGGGAAUCACUGGACAGGAAGGGAGGACACCAGAGGGGCAGCAGAACAAGCUUAGUCUCUAUUGCUCUGUGGCCUCAAGUCCCUGCUCUUGGUGGAUUCAGUCUACUUGUCUGUGAAAUGGGCACAGUCUUGGGCUAUCUGUCACUGCUUUAAGCUUCUGUGACGAGCCCUGAGAUUGCAGCACUAAUAGAAAAUGGAGCCCAUUACCUAGACACUGCCUCCUAACUGUGGGACCUCUAGUUACUCUCAGGGAGUCAGUCUCCCUCCUACAUGGGAACCCCAGAUCUCUCUGGGAUGUGCUGGCACAGGCUAGCUGGGUACUGUGCCUCCCUCCUUCCCACCUCCCUGUCUUUGUGUCUUCCCAUCUCUCUAUCUUCCAUCCCCCACCCCUGGCUCACAGAACCCUGGAGGGCUGCUCCAAUGAGAGGUUCAUUUUCCUUUCCUUGAGCAGGUGACAGACCCAGCUGCCAAUAAUCUCCUGUGACAAAUCAACACUGAAGUCCAGUGGCUCCCUGGCCCUGGAGGCGUCCAAGUAGAUCGAAGUGGAAAAAAACCCAGUGGCUCUGGGAAUGGGGACUGGAGGGACUGUCACAGUCAACAGAUGUAUGGGGGGGUUCACCCUCUUUAUCACCAGCUAGCUACCUGGAAAGCACCUCCUUCCUCAUCCUUCAGGAUGCUUUGAGGGUGUAGGAUGACAGGCCUGGCUGCAGUGCCUGGAAAAAACGCUGGGGAGGGAAGGGAUCCUCGGCUGGACAGCAGGGAGCCACGGAAGGGUUUGAGCUGAGGAUGGAUGGGCGAGAAUAAGUUUUUCUCCUUGUCUCUCUGCCUCCUUAGCAUGGGGCUCUCAGCAGGUUGGGCCAGCCUCUGGGGACCCAAGUCCUCACCCUAUCAUGAGUGAGAAGUGUGAAGAGUGCUGGAGGUGAGACCUUUGGAUAGGCUAUCUCGUAGGUAAAUGGUAGGGCCUAGGCCUGGCACAAACUCAGGCCUAGAGGGAGGGGGUGGGCGGAUGUUUUCCAGAUUUUUGUGCCUCUUCCUUAUUCUGAGGGAAUGGCUCUGUCUUCACUAACACAUUUUUCAGAUGGGGAAAGGCAGGGUUCAGAGUAGCAGAGGACUGAAGGCUAUCAAAGAAAUGCGCUCCCCUGGCCUCUGCAUCAGCGCUGGGCGCCGCCGCCGUGCAGAGCUCAGCUCAGCAAAGGGAGAGGGAUGGUUGCUUGAUGUUUUCCUGCCUAAAUAGCCCAGGAUCAUCUCCUGAUUGGGUUAUCCUUAGCAAAACUAUCAGAGACAGAAUCAUCCACAUUGGAAAUAUAACUCAGAGCGAGAAGUUGACUUGGCCAUGGACCUAGCUGGAGUCAGUGGCAAACCUUUGGAUCUUUUCAUUUAGUUGGGUCCCAUGGACGCAGGCUAUGCGUAUAUAGGACAAAGAGAGCCUCCUGGUGCUGAAGUCUCCCUGGCUCUGGGCGUUCAUGGCACUAUCCAGGAUGGGCAGAGAUGGAAACCCGGUACCAUGACAACCUGCCACUGUCCUGGACAGCAAUACAAUAUGGAUGUCACAGGGCAGGAGGGGCCGAAUCCCCUUAGGCUUUUAGGGAUCUCCAAGCUCAAACUGAGCAGCCAGAGCAUCUGUAGAGAACCCAGACCUUCAAGGCCUCAGUUUCCAGCCUCUCUCCACAGUCAUAUGAACCCCAGUGCCCUGCUUCCACCACUGGCGCUGUGACCCCCAGCUUCACUGGGGGUCUCUCCCUGACAUCCUCUUCUCUCUGGCUCUCUUCAUGUGUCUGUCUCUUGCUUUCUCCCUCUCCCAAUGGACUAGCUUCCCGCUGAUGUAUCCUCCAGCCUAGUGACUGUGGCCAUGUCCCCUUGCCAUAACUCAGGUUCACACCUAUGGUUCUGGCCCUCAGGGUCUUGCAUACCUGCUGACAACCAUUUGAGCACAUGGCCUCCUUGAGGACAGUCUCCUGAGGGAGGGGAGGAGCUUUGUAGGUUGACCGCAAGAUGGAGUGUGGGGAGGAAGAGAAGGGGCAAGGACUUCCAACACCUCUCUGGAAUCACACUGGGUCCAGGCUCUCAACUCAGUGUCCCACUUGUACCCAAACAGAAAGGAAGGCCAAGGUUGACCUUUGCACUCCAACCAACCCUCAAGCCCCGCCUAUUCUUCUCUAAUGUGGCAAGUGACCAGCCAACCCUCAGCAAUGAGUGAAAAUGUCUUUUAGACAUGUAAAAAGAGCUUUGUCAGGAUCCCCACAGCACCCAAAGCUGUAUCUGAUAACCAGAACUCAGUGACAUCACUCAGGAUAACCAGACAUGGUCCUAGAACCCCAGGACACCUACUGGAUAGUAUCUCAGCAGAGAUCAAGAGCAAGGCUCGGCUCUGCACCUCUGAAGAGAUGAGACCUUCCUUGACCAGCCCUGGGGCUGGAGCGUCUCCUCGAGGAUCCUGGCCCUUGCAUCAGAGUCAUCUGUCAGAGACUGGACCUGGCCUUCAGCGAGGAUCUGUCACAGGAAUGUGUGUCUGUCCAGUCACAAGCAGGUCCUGCCAUAAGCUUGAUGACACCUCUGCAGAUCUGUUCCUUCAGUGGGGACUGACGGAAGACCAAGCCUGGCUGUGCCCAGGAACAGCACCAGACAGGGAUGCCAAGCUGCAAUGGAGAGCAGCUCAACGGAGCUGUUCUUUCUGGGAAUCUACACAGCCCAGGAAGGAGCAGCAUGUGACAUCGAACCAGGAAACGGAAGCCCCUGGAUGAAGCUGCAGGACCUAAUGAUACACAGGACGAGGAGAGGUCGCAGACAGAACAGCAGCCUUUCUGUAGUCUAAGGCCACGGGACCUUGGGGAACAGUUGGUGGGAGCUGCCGCAGACUCAGUCAGAGCCUUAUCUGGAACUAACACGUGGGAGAGUCCCAGCUUUCCUCAAGAGUGUGUUCCAGGGUCUCCUGCUUGUCUAUCCCACCAACCCUACAGGAAAACGGUCACUGUGCCUGAAGAAAACCAUGGCUGGCAGUCUCAAGCUGCCAGGGACAGCACGAGGGCUGUCCUCUGCUGUGUGCUACUGACCACUCCAAGUGUGGCCUUGUCCUUGGAUGGCCCCUUCAGCCUGAGGCUUGACCACCUACUCUCCAGGAGUCUCUCUGGUCUCCAGGUUCCAGCUGGGAGCCAAACUGGGGUUGCAGAUUACACAGUCUCUUUGAAAGGCCUUGGCGCUAAGCCCCAGCCGAGACAAGAGAGCAGGGAUGGGUGAGGCUGGACCUUCAGGAACCACCUAAGCCCCAGAAGCUGAGAAAGCAGCAGGCAGGUUUUAAGAGGUCUUGUGGGUACAGAAUCUUGGAGCUGGAAUUGUGCACAGUAGAAGGAUGUGUCCACCAGGGCCGGGUGACAGGCCUGAGUAUCAACCUAAACUUGGGACUUGAGACUUAAGGAUUUAAGAGAUUAAAAAAAUAUAUUUAAGUGUGUG